GUCCAAUAGGUCAUUGGCAAUGAUUCAUAGUUCUAAGAGGAAGAUCGUAGUACACUGUUUAUUGGUGUGUCCAUGCUCGUAUCAGGCAAGGGAAUUCAUGAGAACUAGUUUAACUGAGAGAAUGGUCCUUGAUGGAGUGCAAUGGCAGAACAGGAUUCAUGUAGCUGAUUCCAGUUGGUCUUCAGAUGAUGUUGAUCUUCUUGGCAGUUAUCUGUUUGGAUGGUGAUGGUUGCAAGUUAAGAAGUGGACUGGUGAAAAUUGAGGAAGGUUUAACUCUUGACACGUUAAUUGCUUGUGAUUCAUGUGAUCUUUGGUAAGUACAUUUCUUUGACAAAGCUUCCUAGAAACCAAACUAAUGAUAAUUGCCAACUCUUAAACUCACUGACACACGUGCCCUUAACAGCAAGAUGACUCUCAUGCACUAUCUCUGCAAGGUGGACUACUACAUGCUGUCCACACUGGACUGCAUGGAUAGAUCCGAAUUUGGAGCUAUUUUGGCCUACUUCUACAUAUGCGGUCGUACAAAUCUCUUUGGAGAGUAAAAAAAGGUGCACUUGUUAUCCUCUGCCAAAUACAAAUGCUAGCCCAUUGUUAAUUGAUAGUA
Molecule: RNA transcript, 604 nt
Organism: Magnolia sinica
Lineage: Eukaryota; Viridiplantae; Streptophyta; Magnoliopsida; Magnoliales; Magnoliaceae
Exons: 4
Source: RefSeq, a predicted model, not a curated record